RNAcentral lists this ribosomal RNA (1386 nucleotides) under uncultured Cyanobium sp. RNAcentral's name for it is "bacterial SSU rRNA". It matches the Rfam family "Bacterial small subunit ribosomal RNA". Lineage: Bacteria; Bacillati; Cyanobacteriota; Cyanophyceae; Synechococcales; Prochlorococcaceae. The record is from RNAcentral.
GUGGCGGACGGGUGAGUAACGCGUGAGAAUCUGCCCUCAGGAGGGGGAUAACGGCUGGAAACGGCCGCUAAUACCCCAUAUGCCGAGAGGUGAAAUGAAAUUCGCCUGAGGAUGAGCUCGCGUCUGAUUAGCUAGUUGGUAGGGUAAAGGCCUACCAAGGCGACGAUCAGUAGCUGGUCUGAGAGGAUGAUCAGCCACACUGGGACUGAGACACGGCCCAGACUCCUACGGGAGGCAGCAGUGGGGAAUUUUCCGCAAUGGGCGAAAGCCUGACGGAGCAACGCCGCGUGAGGGAUGAAGGCCUCUGGGCUGUAAACCUCUUUUAUCAAGGAAGAAGAUCUGACGGUACUUGAUGAAUAAGCCACGGCUAAUUCCGUGCCAGCAGCCGCGGUAAUACGGGAGUGGCAAGCGUUAUCCGGAAUUAUUGGGCGUAAAGCGUCCGCAGGCGGUCUUACAAGUCUGUCGUUAAAGCGUGGAGCUUAACUCCAUUUCAGCGAUGGAAACUGUAAGACUAGAGUGUGGUAGGGGCAGAGGGAAUUCCCGGUGUAGCGGUGAAAUGCGUAGAUAUCGGGAAGAACACCAGUGGCGAAGGCGCUCUGCUGGGCCAUAACUGACGCUCAUGGACGAAAGCCAGGGGAGCGAAAGGGAUUAGAUACCCCUGUAGUCCUGGCCGUAAACGAUGAACACUAGGUGUCGGGGGAAUCGACCCCCUCGGUGUCGUAGCCAACGCGUUAAGUGUUCCGCCUGGGGAGUACGCACGCAAGUGUGAAACUCAAAGGAAUUGACGGGGGCCCGCACAAGCGGUGGAGUAUGUGGUUUAAUUCGAUGCAACGCGAAGAACCUUACCAGGGUUUGACAUCCUGCGAAUCCCUUGGAAACGAGGGAGUGCCUUCGGGAACGCAGUGACAGGUGGUGCAUGGCUGUCGUCAGCUCGUGUCGUGAGAUGUUGGGUUAAGUCCCGCAACGAGCGCAACCCACGUCUUUAGUUGCCAGCAUUUAGUUGGGCACUCUAGAGAGACUGCCGGUGAUAAACCGGAGGAAGGUGUGGAUGACGUCAAGUCAUCAUGCCCCUUACAUCCUGGGCUACACACGUACUACAAUGCUACGGACAAAGGGCAGCAAACUCGCGAGAGCUAGCCAAUCCCAUAAACCGUGGCUCAGUUCAGAUCGUAGGCUGCAACUCGCCUACGUGAAGGAGGAAUCGCUAGUAAUCGCAGGUCAGCAUACUGCGGUGAAUACGUUCCCGGGCCUUGUACACACCGCCCGUCACACCAUGGAAGUUGGCCACGCCCGAAGUCGUUACUCCAACCCUUGUGGAGGAGGAUGCCGAAGGUGGGGCUGAUGACCGGGGUGAAGUCGUAACAAGGUAGCCGUACCGGAAGGUGC